RNAcentral lists this ribosomal RNA (1010 nucleotides) under Penicillium cyclopium. RNAcentral's name for it is "SSU rRNA". It matches the Rfam family "Eukaryotic small subunit ribosomal RNA", at positions 85 to 1104 of the family's 1831-position model. RNAcentral also lists the same sequence under 1 other name. Lineage: Eukaryota; Fungi; Ascomycota; Eurotiomycetes; Eurotiales; Aspergillaceae. The record is from RNAcentral.
AACUGCGAAUGGCUCAUUAAAUCAGUUAUCGUUUAUUUGAUAGUACCUUACUACAUGGAUACCUGUGGUAAUUCUAGAGCUAAUACAUGCUAAAAACCCCGACUUCAGGAAGGGGUGUAUUUAUUAGAUAAAAAACCAACGCCCUUCGGGGCUCCUUGGUGAAUCAUAAUAACUUAACGAAUCGCAUGGCCUUGCGCCGGCGAUGGUUCAUUCAAAUUUCUGCCCUAUCAACUUUCGAUGGUAGGAUAGUGGCCUACCAUGGUGGCAACGGGUAACGGGGAAUUAGGGUUCGAUUCCGGAGAGGGAGCCUGAGAAACGGCUACCACAUCCAAGGAAGGCAGCAGGCGCGCAAAUUACCCAAUCCCGAUACGGGGAGGUAGUGACAAUAAAUACUGAUACGGGGCUCUUUUGGGUCUCGUAAUUGGAAUGAGAACAAUUUAAAUCCCUUAACGAGGAACAAUUGGAGGGCAAGUCUGGUGCCAGCAGCCGCGGUAAUUCCAGCUCCAAUAGCGUAUAUUAAAGUUGUUGCAGUUAAAAAGCUCGUAGUUGAACCUUGGGCCUGGCUGGCCGGUCCGCCUCACCGCGAGUACUGGUCCGGCUGGGCCUUUCCUUCUGGGGAACCUCAUGGCCUUCACUGGCUGUGGGGGGAACCAGGACUUUUACUGUGAAAAAAUUAGAGUGUUCAAAGCAGGCCUUUGCUCGAAUACAUUAGCAUGGAAUAAUAGAAUAGGACGUGUGGUUCUAUUUUGUUGGUUUCUAGGACCGCCGUAAUGAUUAAUAGGGAUAGUCGGGGGCGUCAGUAUUCAGCUGUCAGAGGUGAAAUUCUUGGAUUUGCUGAAGACUAACUACUGCGAAAGCAUUCGCCAAGGAUGUUUUCAUUAAUCAGGGAACGAAAGUUAGGGGAUCGAAGACGAUCAGAUACCGUCGUAGUCUUAACCAUAAACUAUGCCGACUAGGGAUCGGACGGGAUUCUAUAAUGACCCGUUCGGCACCUUACGAGAAAUCAAAGU